AAGUGUAGACGACUACUUGUACUUGAAAUUCCAUUCCUUUAUCCGGUGGGAGGGUUUAGAGCCAGUUAAGCCAAUAGCAUAUCUAGCAAAAGCUUCAGUAACACUAGCUACAUCAGUAGAUCAUUGAUUAGCAUACCUCCUCUGAAUAGUCUACGUGGACCCUAGUUUAUAUUACUAUUAAUUCGAAUUAAUCCAGUAAUGCAUACAGCCUUGACUCUCUUAAAGAGCAGGAGGUUUAGCGUCAACUCAUUCAAUGAAUGUUCUUUCAUUCACCACACGGAUGUAACACUAGCUAUAUCAGUAGAUCAUUGAUUAGCAUACCUCCUCUGAAUAGUCUACGUGGACCCUACUUUAUAUUACUAUUAAUUCGAAUAAAUCCAGUAAUGCAUACAGCCUUGACUCUCUUAAAGAGCAGGAGGUUUAGCGUCAACUCAUUCAAUGAAUGUUCUUU
This 451-nucleotide long non-coding RNA is filed under the name Nicotiana benthamiana. RNAcentral's name for it is "long non-coding RNA (NBEN_LNC004693)". The record is from RNAcentral. Lineage: Eukaryota; Viridiplantae; Streptophyta; Magnoliopsida; Solanales; Solanaceae.